AAAUUGAAGAGUUUGAUCAUGGCUCAGAUUGAACGCUGGCGGCAGGCCUAACACAUGCAAGUCGAGCGGUAACACAGAGAGCUUGCUCUCGGGUGACGAGCGGCGGACGGGUGAGUAAUGUCUGGGAAACUGCCUGAUGGAGGGGGAUAACUACUGGAAACGGUAGCUAAUACCGCAUAACGUCGCAAGACCAAAGUGGGGGACCUUCGGGCCUCAUGCCAUCAGAUGUGCCCAGAUGGGAUUAGCUAGUAGGUGGGGUAACGGCUCACCUAGGCGACGAUCCCUAGCUGGUCUGAGAGGAUGACCAGCCACACUGGAACUGAGACACGGUCCAGACUCCUACGGGAGGCAGCAGUGGGGAAUAUUGCACAAUGGGCGCAAGCCUGAUGCAGCCAUGCCGCGUGUGUGAAGAAGGCCUUCGGGUUGUAAAGCACUUUCAGCGGGGAGGAAGGCGGUGAGGUUAAUAACCUCAUCGAUUGACGUUACCCGCAGAAGAAGCACCGGCUAACUCCGUGCCAGCAGCCGCGGUAAUACGGAGGGUGCAAGCGUUAAUCGGAAUUACUGGGCGUAAAGCGCACGCAGGCGGUCUGUCAAGUCGGAUGUGAAAUCCCCGGGCUCAACCUGGGAACUGCAUUCGAAACUGGCAGGCUAGAGUCUUGUAGAGGGGGGUAGAAUUCCAGGUGUAGCGGUGAAAUGCGUAGAGAUCUGGAGGAAUACCGGUGGCGAAGGCGGCCCCCUGGACAAAGACUGACGCUCAGGUGCGAAAGCGUGGGGAGCAAACAGGAUUAGAUACCCUGGUAGUCCACGCCGUAAACGAUGUCGAUUUGGAGGUUGUGCCCUUGAGGCGUGGCUUCCGGAGCUAACGCGUUAAAUCGACCGCCUGGGGAGUACGGCCGCAAGGUUAAAACUCAAAUGAAUUGACGGGGGCCCGCACAAGCGGUGGAGCAUGUGGUUUAAUUCGAUGCAACGCGAAGAACCUUACCUGGUCUUGACAUCCACAGAACUUUCCAGAGAUGGAUUGGUGCCUUCGGGAACUGUGAGACAGGUGCUGCAUGGCUGUCGUCAGCUCGUGUUGUGAAAUGUUGGGUUAAGUCCCGCAACGAGCGCAACCCUUAUCCUUUGUUGCCAGCGGUUCGGCCGGGAACUCAAAGGAGACUGCCAGUGAUAAACUGGAGGAAGGUGGGGAUGACGUCAAGUCAUCAUGGCCCUUACGACCAGGGCUACACACGUGCUACAAUGGCAUAUACAAAGAGAAGCGACCUCGCGAGAGCAAGCGGACCUCAUAAAGUAUGUCGUAGUCCGGAUUGGAGUCUGCAACUCGACUCCAUGAAGUCGGAAUCGCUAGUAAUCGUAGAUCAGAAUGCUACGGUGAAUACGUUCCCGGGCCUUGUACACACCGCCCGUCACACCAUGGGAGUGGGUUGCAAAAGAAGUAGGUAGCUUAACCUUCGGGAGGGCGCUUACCACUUUGUGAUUCAUGACUGGGGUGAAGUCGUAACAAGGUAACCGUAGGGGAACCUGCGGUUGGAUCACCUCCUUA
This 1540-nucleotide ribosomal RNA is filed under the name Klebsiella pneumoniae. RNAcentral describes it as "bacterial SSU rRNA". It matches the Rfam family "Bacterial small subunit ribosomal RNA". Lineage: Bacteria; Pseudomonadati; Pseudomonadota; Gammaproteobacteria; Enterobacterales; Enterobacteriaceae. The record is from RNAcentral.